AGUGAACGCUGGCGGUAGGCCUAACACAUGCAAGUCGAACGGCAGCACAGUAAGAGCUUGCUCUUACGGGUGGCGAGUGGCGGACGGGUGAGGAAUACAUCGGAAUCUACUUUUUCGUGGGGGAUAACGUAGGGAAACUUACGCUAAUACCGCAUACGACCUACGGGUGAAAGCAGGGGAUCUUCGGACCUUGCGCGAUUGAAUGAGCCGAUGUCGGAUUAGCUAGUUGGCGGGGUAAAGGCCCACCAAGGCGACGAUCCGUAGCUGGUCUGAGAGGAUGAUCAGCCACACUGGAACUGAGACACGGUCCAGACUCCUACGGGAGGCAGCAGUGGGGGAUAUUGGACAAUGGGCGCAAGCCUGAUCCAGCCAUACCGCGUGGGUGAAGAAGGCCUUCGGGUUGUAAAGCCCUUUCGUUGGGAAAGAAAAGCAGCAGGUUAAUACCCCGCUGUUCUGACGGUACCCAAAGAAUAAGCACCGGCUAACUUCGUG
Molecule: ribosomal RNA, 492 nt
Filed under: uncultured bacterium
Lineage: Bacteria
Description: partial 16S ribosomal RNA
Rfam family: Bacterial small subunit ribosomal RNA
Source: RNAcentral